UACGGAGGGUGCAAGCGUUAUCCGGAUUCACUGGGUUUAAAGGGUGCGCAGGUGGGUUGGUAAGUCAGUGGUGAAAUCCCCGAGCUUAACUUGGGAACUGCCAUUGAUACUAUUAGUCUUGAAUACCGUGGAGGUUAGCGGAAUAUGUCAUGUAGCGGUGAAAUGCUUAGAUAUGACAUAGAACACCAAUUGCGAAGGCAGCUGGCUACACGAAUAUUGACACUGAGGCACGAAAGCGUGGGGAUCAAACAGG
This 253-nucleotide ribosomal RNA is filed under the name uncultured bacterium. RNAcentral describes it as "partial 16S ribosomal RNA". It matches the Rfam family "Bacterial small subunit ribosomal RNA", at positions 524 to 776 of the family's 1533-position model. The record is from RNAcentral.